Molecule: long non-coding RNA, 310 nt
Organism: Drosophila subobscura
Lineage: Eukaryota; Metazoa; Arthropoda; Insecta; Diptera; Drosophilidae
Exons: 2
Source: RefSeq, a predicted model, not a curated record
CCCAGAUGGAUUAACCUAUAGGGUCCAUGUUGAAAAGCAACCUGGUGGAAUCUUCUUGCUUGACUGUUCGAGUAUUAACCUGCCUCCAUCGGUCCUGGGGACGUGCACAAGAGCAUUUAUGACAGUAAGGAAGGGUUUAUCGCUGAUUCCUGAAGUCUACUGCGGACAUGGGACGUUUAAUACAACAAGUACCCAAAAAGACCUGAUCGUAAUGGUGAAUAUUCCGCGCGGCUUCACAGGGAAAUUCUUUUGUUCCGUCAAAGAUAAUUCCAAGACUACCGAUUAAAUGAAGCUCAAUAUUUUAUUUGAA